GGCAUUCUGUAGGUGCGGCCAGGUAAGUUUCGGCUUAUGCCAUGUUGCGCCUGCGCAGUUGGUCUGUAUUGUUCCCGGGCGUGGGCUGCAUUUUCCCGCGCGCGGGUAAGUUGGUGAUGAAGAACCCGGAAAUGCGCCAUCUUAGUCGUCUUUGUCCUCAUCCCCCGUCCAGACAUGGCACGCGUAUGGUGAGAAUUCAUCUGAAGGUAACAACAAUUGAAACAUGCUGUACCAAUCCUCAUGCCCUAUUUCUCAAGCAGAAGAAUGUGCCCUCUGAGCAGACAAAACACAAGAGCUACCCCUUUUUCAGAGAUGAUGCUGCUUCUCUUAGGGAAAGAAUGACAUUGCCAAAAUGGUGGAAUAAAAUCAAUAUAGCUUCACUAUCCCCAACAGAAAACCAACAACAAUUAUCCAGUGCAAAAAUUAUCACCAACAAUAUCCCAGAACUCAUAAUUUAG
RNAcentral lists this long non-coding RNA (458 nucleotides) under Macaca mulatta (Rhesus monkey). Its description in RNAcentral is "lncRNA (ENSMMUG00000056288.1)". The record is from RNAcentral. Lineage: Eukaryota; Metazoa; Chordata; Mammalia; Primates; Cercopithecidae.